GCGGAGCGGGGAGCCGCGCGGCCCGGCGUGACCGACGCCUGUGGCGGAGCCGGAGCUGGGGGCGCGGGGCGCAGGCUGGGAGAGAGGGCGGGGCCCGGCCAGGUGCGCGCGGACCGCGGCGAGGGUCGCAGGCGGCAGAUGGAAGAGAGAGCUCAGCUGUAACCGAGGCGCAGCUUCCCAGUCAAUCCCCGUCGCCGUGUUUGCGUUUGAUCGCCUGCCUAUAUACAUAUAUACAUGCACAGUAGGGAAAUGGUGUGUGACAGAGCUGCGCAGGAAGGAAUGAAGAAAGAUUGAAAGCCAUGUGGGUGGGAAGAGUGGAAGAGGAUGAACCUUUCGUACCUGGGCAUGGUUCCACAUCUCCCUCACCCUACUCCACAAUGCAAAACCUGACAUACUAGAUCUCCUUAAGCAAGGUGCCUCUUGAGGUUGUAACCGCAGAUGUUCUGCAGGGAUCCAAUUACUUGAGCCAUCACCUGCAAGAGCAGGAAAACUGGAAUCGGAAGUGGAUAUAGCAUGCAAGCAACUCGACUUACAUCACAACCACUACACCGGAUGCCCAUCUGGAAACUGCAACUUUAGACAGUGUUGUCAGGGUCGGCUUCACUGAGAAGGCAGAAUGGACAGUGAGAGAGACAGAAUGAAAGGUCUUCCUUUUCCGUUGGUUCACCCCACAGUGGCCAUUGCGGCUGGAGCGCUGCGGCCGGCGCACCGCGCUGAUCCAAAGCCAGGAGCCAGGCGCUUCUCCUGGUCUCCAUGAAGGUGCAGGGCCCAAGCACCUGGGCCAUCCUCCACUGCCUUCCCUGGCCACAGCAGAGAGCUGGACUGGAAGAGAGGCAACCAGGACAGAAUCCGGUGCCCCGACCAGGACUAGAACCCGGGGUACUGGCGCCACAAGCGGAGGAUUAGCCUAUUGAGCUGCAGCACCGACCUGUUUUUGUUUUUUUUUUUUUUAAUUAAGCAAGCUCCUACCAUAUCUAACAAAAUUAACAAUUCUUUACUGUUGUGGAAUACUCACUUCCUAUUCAGUUUCCCUUGAUCAUCUCAAGAAUAUGUUUUAUUUUACCAUUUUGCAUUUUAUUUUACCAUUUGCAUUUUGUUAAUAUACUUAUAUCUCUUGUGUCUUUUAAUCUAUAGUGAUUUUUCCUUUUUCGAAAAAAUGGCAUUUAUUUGUUACAAAUUUGGGUAUUUUUACCUGUUGAAUAUAUCAAGCCCUUUAAAACUUAAUUCAGUAAUUGGGUGAAUUAAGAGUUGGUAGAGAAUGCACAGUAUUUGGAAUAAAAAAUCCAGGGGGCCGGUGUUGUGGCAUAAUGGGUCAAGCCACUGCUUAUAACACCUGCAUCCUAUUUGAGCUCCAGUAACAGUCCCAGCUGCU
Molecule: long non-coding RNA, 1372 nt
Organism: Lepus europaeus (European hare)
Lineage: Eukaryota; Metazoa; Chordata; Mammalia; Lagomorpha; Leporidae
Exons: 5
Source: RefSeq, a predicted model, not a curated record